Molecule: long non-coding RNA, 202 nt
Filed under: Hordeum vulgare
Lineage: Eukaryota; Viridiplantae; Streptophyta; Magnoliopsida; Poales; Poaceae
Description: long non-coding RNA (HVUL_LNC009505)
Source: RNAcentral
CAGUAUAUCUUGCUGGUGCUAUCUUCUUAUUUUCACUACUUGUCAUUUGCCCACGUUCCUGUCAUCUCCUAGGUCCCGUUGUGACAUUUGCAGCGGUACUACCGCCAGGACCCCAGCGGUACUACCGCUAGGGGUAGCGGUACUACCGCCAGGACCCCAACGGUACUACCGCUCAGGGUAGCGGUACUACCGCCAGGACCCC